AUGGAUGUGGGUGCAGUCAGAGAGAGAGAGUGCUGUUAUCUGAUAUGUGAACAGACUGUCAGCAUGUCUACAGGCUGUGUGAGGUCACUCUCGGAGACAGCAGAGCACAGACUCGCCGCUCAGGAGCGUCCCUAUGAGGACAGUGAGAUGGACAGGCAGAAGCACAGCGCUGAGGAAAAUCAGCAGGACGAACUCGGACAAAAGAAGCCCCGCAGGAAAGACACGCCUGUGCUCAACUCUCCUCCACUUAUACCAGGGGUGAGAUUAAUGAAAGGGGAAGCCCGUCUGAUUCACAUGGAGGACGAAGAAAAGGAGGCAAAGAAAUAGCUGUAUUUUUACACCAUGGCGUACGCACUGAUUGUUGUUGUUGUUUGUUUCCCAUUGUUUUAAUAGCUUGCAUGUGUUAAAGCCUGUCUGAACCUUUCUCAAAUGUCUCAAAUGUUGUGCUUCAUUUUCCACGUGUCAGAGAUUUACAAUAUAUAAAUACACAUUUCUGC
This 497-nucleotide long non-coding RNA is filed under the name Astyanax mexicanus (Mexican tetra). RNAcentral describes it as "lncRNA (ENSAMXG00005023705.1)". The record is from RNAcentral. Lineage: Eukaryota; Metazoa; Chordata; Actinopteri; Characiformes; Acestrorhamphidae.